This 253-nucleotide ribosomal RNA is filed under the name uncultured bacterium. RNAcentral's name for it is "partial 16S ribosomal RNA". It matches the Rfam family "Bacterial small subunit ribosomal RNA", at positions 524 to 776 of the family's 1533-position model. The record is from RNAcentral.
UACGGGGGGGGCAAGCGUUGUUCGGAAUUACUGGGCGUAAAGGGCUCGUAGGCGGCCAACUAAGUCAGACGUGAAAUCCCUCGGCUUAACCGGGGAACUGCGUCUGAUACUGGAUGGCUUGAAUCCGGGAGAGGGAAGCGGAAUUCCAGGUGUAGCGGUGAAAUGCGUAGAUAUCUGGAGGAACACCGGUGGCGAAGGCGGCAUCCUGGACCGGCAUUGACGCUGAGGAGCGAAAGCCAGGGGAGCAAACAGG